GGGGGGGGGGGGGGGGGGGGGGGGCGGGUGCGGGGCGGGCGGCGGCGCAGGGCGGGCGUGCGCGGCCGGGGGGGGGGUGGCGGACGGGGGGGGGAUCCGUCGGCGCCUACUUCUUCGGGGGGGGUGAGUUAUGGAACCUUACGCUAAUACCGCACCCGACCUACGGGUCCCCGGCUGGGAUCUUCGGACCUCGCGCGAUUGAAGUAGCCGAUGUCGGAUUAGCCAGUUGGCGGGGUCAAGGCCCACCAGGGCGACGAUCCGGAGCUGGUCGGCGAGUAUGAUCAGCCACACUGGAACUGAGACACGGUCCAGACUCCUACGGGAGGCAGCAGUGGGGAAUAUUGGACAAUGGGCGCAAGCCUGAUCCAGCCAUACCGCGUGGGUGAAGAAGGCCUUCGGGUUGUAAAGCCCUUUUGUUGGGAAAGAAAAGCAGCAGGUUAAUACCCCGCUGUUCUGACGGUACCCAAAGAAUAAGCACCGGCUAACUUCGUG
This 492-nucleotide ribosomal RNA is filed under the name uncultured bacterium. RNAcentral's name for it is "partial 16S ribosomal RNA". It matches the Rfam family "Bacterial small subunit ribosomal RNA", at positions 27 to 507 of the family's 1533-position model. The record is from RNAcentral.